UACGUAGGGUGCGAGCGUUAAUCGGAAUUACUGGGCGUAAAGCGUGCGCAGGCGGCUUCCUAAGUCAGAUGUGAAAUCCCCGGGCUUAACCUGGGAACUGCGUUUGAAACUGGGGGGCUAGAGUGCGGCAGAGGGGGGUGGAAUUCCACGUGUAGCAGUGAAAUGCGUAGAUAUGUGGAGGAACACCGAUGGCGAAGGCAGCCCCCUGGGCCUGCACUGACGCUCAUGCACGAAAGCGUGGGGAGCAAACAGG
RNAcentral lists this ribosomal RNA (253 nucleotides) under uncultured bacterium. Its description in RNAcentral is "partial 16S ribosomal RNA". It matches the Rfam family "Bacterial small subunit ribosomal RNA", at positions 524 to 776 of the family's 1533-position model. The record is from RNAcentral.